GGAUGGGAAAGUCAGAUGUGAAAUUUCGGAGCUCAACUUCGAAGCUGCAUUUGAAACUAUCUAUCUGGAGGAUAGGCGGAGAAAACGGAAUUCCACGUGUAGCGGUGAAAUGCGUAGAGAUGUGGAAGAACACCUGUGGCGAAAGCGGUUUUCUAGCUUACGCCUGACGCUGAGGCGCGAAAGCAAGGGGAGCAAACAGGAUUAGAUACCCUGGUAGUCCUUGCUGUAAACGAUGUAUACUUGAUGUAGUCGGACUUAAUCCUGACUGUGUCGAAGCUAACGCGUUAAGUAUACCGCCUGGGGAGUACGCUCGCAAGGGUAAAACUCAAAGGAAUUGACGGGGACCCGCACAAGCGGUGGAUGAUGUGGAUUAAUUCGAUGCAACGCGAAAAACCUUACCUACCCUUGACAUGUACGGAAGCCACGAGAGAUCGAGGUGUGGCUCGAAAGAGAGCCGUAACACAGGUGCUGCAUGGCUGUCGUCAGCUCGUGUCGUGAGAUGUUGGGUUAAGUCCCGCAACGAGCGCAACCCUUGUCAUUAGUUGCCAUCAUUUAGUUGGGCACUUUAAUGGGACUGCCGGUGACAAACCGGAGGAAGGUGGGGAUGACGUCAAGUCCUCAUGGCCCUUAUGGCCAGGGCUUCACACGUAAUACAAUGGUCGGUACAGAGAGUUGCCAACCCGCGAGGGGGAGCCAAUCUCAGAAAGCCGAUCGUAGUCCGGAUUGUAGUCUGCAACUCGACUACAUGAAGUCGGAAUCGCUAGUAAUCGCGGAUCA
Molecule: ribosomal RNA, 777 nt
Filed under: uncultured Spirochaetota bacterium
Lineage: Bacteria; Pseudomonadati; Spirochaetota
Description: bacterial SSU rRNA
Rfam family: Bacterial small subunit ribosomal RNA
Source: RNAcentral